RNAcentral lists this ribosomal RNA (453 nucleotides) under uncultured bacterium. RNAcentral describes it as "bacterial SSU rRNA". It matches the Rfam family "Bacterial small subunit ribosomal RNA", at positions 340 to 783 of the family's 1533-position model. The record is from RNAcentral.
UACGGAAGGCAGCAGUGGGGAAUAUUGCACAAUGGGCGCAAGCCUGAUGCAGCCAUGCCGCGUGUAUGAAGAAGGCCUUCGGGUUGUAAAGUACUUUCAGUCGUGAGGAAGGUGUUAAGGUUAAUAACCUUAGCAAUUGACGUUAGCGACAGAAGAAGCACCGGCUAACUCCGUGCCAGCAGCCGCGGUAAUACGGAGGGUGCGAGCGUUAAUCGGAAUUACUGGGCGUAAAGGGCACGCAGGCGGUUAAUUAAGUUGGAUGUGAAAUCCCCGGGCUUAACCUGGGAAUGGCAUUCAAGACUGGUUAGCUAGAGUCUUGUAGAGGGGGUAGAAUUCCGAUGUGUAGCGGUGAAAUGCGUAGAGAUGUGGAGGAAUACCGGUGGCGAAGGCGGCCCCUGGACAAAGGACUGACGCUCAUGUGCGAAAGCGUGGGGAGCGAAACAGGGAUUAGAU